GUCACGAUAGCUCAAAUGGUAGAGCGCCGGGGUAUGAAGCCAGAGGUCGUGGGUUCGAGUCCCGCUCAUGACA
This is a non-coding RNA of Cimex lectularius (bed bug), 73 nucleotides long. The record is from the annotation of a RefSeq genome assembly. NCBI's taxonomy places the organism in Eukaryota, Metazoa, Arthropoda, Insecta, Hemiptera, Cimicidae.